AAUGCUACGGACAAAGGGCAGCAAACUCGCGAGAGCUAGCAAAUCCCAUAAACGUGGGCUCAGUUCAGAUCGUAGGCUGCAACUCGCCUACGUGAAGUAGGAAUCGCUAGUAAUCGCAGGUCAGCAUACUGCGGUGAAUACGUUCCCGGGCCUUGUACACACCGCCCGUCACACCAUGGAAGUUGGCCAUGCCCGAAGUCGUUACUCCAACCCUUGUGGAGGAGGACGCCGAAGGUGGGGCUAAUGACUGGGGUGAAGUCGUAACAAGGUAGCCGUACCGGAAGGUGCGGCUGGAUCACCUCCUAACAGGGAGACAACAAAAUGUUUAAUAUUAUUAUUUUGUCACCUUAGGUCGAUCGGUAUCUCACGUUUUUAAUUUAUUAAGAAUUUCAUUUCCUAAGUUUUUCUAGGUCACACCCAUUAUUUUUCCUGGGCCAUUAGCUCAGGUGGUUAGAGCGCACCCCUGAUAAGGGUGAGGUCCCUGGUUCAAGUCCAGGAUGGCCCAUAUCUCUAUGUUGGGGGUAUAGCUCAGUUGGUAGAGCGCCUGCUUUGCAAGCAGGAUGUCAGCGGUUCGAGUCCGCUUACCUCCACUGAUUACCACCUCUUCCAUAACCGGUAGAAAGGAAAUGUUUUGAGUUGUGAUCAAAUUCUUAAAGAAUCUAGCUUCCUAAUGAAAUCAUUAAGAUGCUGGACUCAUUGAAUUAAUUUCUUUGUUUUCAGAGAACCUUGACAACUGCAUAGAUUAUUUUUAAAGACAAUAAGCAUCUUUAAUGAUGCAGAUUUAUUAUUUGUGCGAAUGCAUUAAUAACAAUUCUAUUAAGCUGAUGCUUCAAUUUUUGAAGUUAUUGGUCAAGCUACAAAGGGCUCACGGAGGAUACCUAGGCACACAGAGGCGAUGAAGGACGUGGUUACCUGCGAUAAGUCUCGGGGAGUGGAAG
This 938-nucleotide unclassified non-coding RNA is filed under the name uncultured bacterium. RNAcentral describes it as "partial contains 16S ribosomal RNA, 16S-23S ribosomal RNA intergenic spacer". The stretch from base 1 to 306 matches the Rfam family "Bacterial small subunit ribosomal RNA", at positions 1229 to 1533 of the family's 1533-position model. The record is from RNAcentral.